AGCAGCGUACCAGUAACAUCGAAUGUCACCAGGCGUGGUCGCACGUAUUUGAUCAUCGUUAAAGUCUAUCUGCAAAUCAUGAUACAUGAUAUACAGAACACUGUUUUAGGGAAAACUUUACUUUGGGGGACCAAAAAUUUCGGACUUUUUGUAUGAUCCACGUAAACUUUGACGAGAGAAUCACAAGAAUAUAAAGGCACCGGCUAUAUUGGUUCGUAGUCAUUGUCGGACACCGUCAAACGAUAUUCAACGAUCACUGGCAGUUGGUAUGGUUAACGCAGUGUUUCCAGUUCCUGACACGAAACGAAAUAGGGGAGAGACCCACCACCCACCGUCGCACUCCUCCGUAACGUCUCGUUAUGGAGCCGGCUUAAAAAUGUCUUUCGGGUGGUGGUUCGGAGACCUCGCAAUUGUGAUUGGAUUUCAAUGGCAAUCCAUUGGUAUUAUCUAAUCCCACCACUCGCUGGCACAUUCCGACCCCCCUCCUUCCGGUCGAGUUGCGUGGCUCGGGGCGGCGACCCCCAAACCCAAAAGAAAACAUACCACGAACGAGUGCAUACAGUGUUCUGUAUUUGAAUUAAAAUACGAGAAUGAAUUAUUACAUCGUUUUGUGAUACACUUUGCACACUAUAGGUUCACGCAAUAAUCCAUAUUCGCAUGUCCAAACAGUAACAGCUUCGUUUGUAAUUGAUAAAUUGCAGAAGUUAUAUUUCCUGCUCUCUAUUUUUGCGUCGACUAAAAAAUAUGUACUGCCCGUCCACGAGAAAAUGGCACAGAAGCGACCUCGCUUUUAGGCGUAGUUCGCGUCUAGUUUUUCUAUACCAUCUUCUCGAGGACGGAGUAUACAUACAUAUGUAUGGGGUACAUAUUAGGAAUUCGAAUUCGAAUUACCUCUCAAAGAUGGCUGCGCCUACGUGCUGCUGCUGCCAUCUAGCGAUUCCGCUCAUUGGACGAUGUCUAGCAAGUACGAACCAAUAUGGCGACGCCCUUACCCGUCAAAAACGUUUCAAAUUCCUCGACUUGGCACACGUAUAGGUUUCGAACCAAUGAAUUUUUAACUUCGAAACUUACACUUUUGACGGUUUCUCUUUAAAACCUUCGAGAUUGUACGAAAAUAAAUUUUAGUUUAAAGUUUAA
Molecule: long non-coding RNA, 1137 nt
Organism: Megalopta genalis
Lineage: Eukaryota; Metazoa; Arthropoda; Insecta; Hymenoptera; Halictidae
Source: RefSeq, a predicted model, not a curated record